UGGGGAAUAUUGGACAAUGGGCGCAAGCCUGAUCCAGCAAUGCCGCGUGAGUGAUGAAGGCCUUAGGGUUGUAAAGCUCUUUUACCCGGGAUGAUAAUGACAGUACCGGGAGAAUAAGCCCCGGCUAACUCCGUGCCAGCAGCCGCGGUAAUACGGAGGGGGCUAGCGUUGUUCGGAAUUACUGGGCGUAAAGCGCGCGUAGGCGGUUCUUCAAGUCAGAGGUGAAAGCCCGGUGCUCAACACCGGAAUUGCCUUUGAAACUAGGGAACUUGAAUCCAGGAGAGGUGAGUGGAAUUCCGAGUGUAGAGGUGAAAUUCGUAGAUAUUCGGAAGAACACCAGUGGCGAAGGCGGCUCACUGGACUGGUAUUGACGCUGAGGUGCGAAAGCGUGGGGAGCAAACAG
Molecule: ribosomal RNA, 403 nt
Filed under: uncultured bacterium
Lineage: Bacteria
Description: bacterial SSU rRNA
Rfam family: Bacterial small subunit ribosomal RNA
Source: RNAcentral